RNAcentral lists this ribosomal RNA (520 nucleotides) under uncultured bacterium. RNAcentral describes it as "bacterial SSU rRNA". It matches the Rfam family "Bacterial small subunit ribosomal RNA", at positions 120 to 674 of the family's 1533-position model. The record is from RNAcentral.
GGGAACAUACCCUUUUCUACGGAAUAGCUCUGGGAAACUGGAAUUAAUACCGUAUACGCCCUACGGGGGAAAGAUUUAUCGGGGAAGGAUUGGCCCGCGUUGGAUUAGCUAGUUGGUGGGGUAAAGGCCUACCAAGGCGACGAUCCAUAGCUGGUCUGAGAGGAUGAUCAGCCACAUUGGGACUGAGACACGGCCCAAACUCCUACGGGAGGCAGCAGUGGGGAAUAUUGGACAAUGGGCGCAAGCCUGAUCCAGCCAUGCCGCGCGAGUGAUGAAGGCCUUAGGGUUGUAAAGCUCUUUCACCGAUGAAGAUAAUGACGGUAGUCGGAGAAGAAGCCCCGGCUAACUUCGUGCCAGCAGCCGCGGUAAUACGAAGGGGGCUAGCGUUGUUCGGAAUUACUGGGCGUAAAGCGCACGUAGGCGGAUAUUUAAGUCAGGGGUGAAAUCCCAGAGCUCAACUCUGGAACUGCCUUUGAUACUGGGUAUCUUGAGUAUGGAAGAGGUAAGUGGAAUUGCGAGU